Molecule: long non-coding RNA, 1685 nt
Filed under: Oryza sativa (Asian cultivated rice)
Lineage: Eukaryota; Viridiplantae; Streptophyta; Magnoliopsida; Poales; Poaceae
Description: long non-coding RNA (OSAT_LNC001448)
Source: RNAcentral
GCGGAGGCGGCGCGCGGCGCGACCCAGAGGCGACGGCGAUGGCACGGCUCUCUCCCCUCCGGCCGCCACCUUCUCUUCCAAAGCUAAGGUUAGGGUUUUCUUCUCUUCUCCUUUUCCCAUCGUCGCCGCCAUCUCUCUUCUCGCCGUGCGGCUUUCUCUCUCGUGAGCACAGCACGUCGCGGUCUCCGCGCUUCCCUCCUCCCCUUCCUUCCUUCGGCUGGGCCCGGGCAGGUGUGUGAGCGCUCAGCUCCGUACCGGCGAUUCGUCGUCCUCCUCGUAUCCUGCUUGAUCUGGUGAGUUCUUGGUUGGGUGGGGAUGGGUGCUCUGCUCGAUCGAUCCCGUGUGUUCUUCUCGUAAAGAUUCGUGCGCGUAGAGUUAUUCAGCCGCUCGUAUACUUUUGGUGCUCGUAGGUUCUUCUCCUCCAUGGAUAAAAGAGGUUUGUGUUAGUGCCUUUGGUAUCUGCUGUGUAUACUGUGAUAGCUGUAGUAUUGUGUUUGAGUCCAAGUAUUGGUAGCAGUGUCCGGAUAGGUGUCAAAUUGGUUGGUGUUUUUGGAGAUUUUAAGAUGUUCCUCGCUAAAACAAUGAAACUGGGGAAGAUUUGUUUCUUGGCUCAUACAGGGGAUAUUUGCAUGCUGAAGUCCGGUCAAACGACCAAAUUUGCUUCUUCCCUUUUAUUGCAUUGAUCCAAGUGUGACUGCAGUUUUGUUCACAAGAAAUCCAAGCGUGCCUGAUCUAAGUUCCUGUUUAAGUCUGGUAAUAUGUACGGAUUUUAACUUGAUGUUCUUGUUUUGUUUUGAGAUAUUGUGCAGAAAAAUGGAAGUUUCAUAACAGUAUUUACGAUGGUUAGUUCUAUCACAAGUUUUAUUUUCACAACUUUAGAUUUGAGCAUUAUGUCACUGUAAGCAGGUCAUGUUUCUAAUCAGCACCACAGAGGGUUUUUUUUAAUGCAUUUACAGAGUAUCAUGAUUCUUUAUGGAAUUGAUCCAAAUGCUGUUCCAUUUUGUUUUCAGAGAUGGGGAACACUGUAGCUGGGCGACUGAAGCUCAUGGUGGCAUUAGUGCUAUAGCUUAAACACUUGCAUCGUUUUGUAAUUUAGUUCUUAGUUAAUUAAUCAAUUAUUAGUUCAGCAUUGUGCAAAUAGCUAGCAGGCAAAAAGGAUGGUUUGGACACAGACGGCAAAAAGGACUGUUUAUUGCUCGGUCUUGUUUGUAAAUUGUGAUCAAGAUGCCAGCUAAUCGGUGCAAGUUGCCGGAGUUGAUUAGCUAUAGAUAUGCAUCAGAUUUCAUUGCAUUAUUUUCCGUUAGUCUAUAUUUUUUCGCUUCCAUUUUUCGGCGCCGCUUGGAGCCUGGACGUAUAAUCAAUUUCUAAUAUUCUCUUAUUGAUCUAAAUGGGCCUAAAUGUACAUGGUUCAAGUAGGAAAAGGAAAAAGUACACCCAAUGUCCCUCAACUUGUCGUCGGGAUAAAAAACAUCCUCGAACCGCAAAACCAGAUAUACGGAGUCCCUUAACUAUACAAAACCGGUCACCCGAGGUCCUUCGGUGGUUUUGACAACGGUUUUGGUCUAUGUGACGGCUAAGUCAGUGUGGGACCCACGUAGGCCCCACAUGUCAGUUGGCCACGUCAUCACCUUCUCACUUCCUCAGAGUUCCUCUCCCUUUCUCCUCUCUAUCUCUCUCUCUCUCAC